UUCUAGAAUAAGGGAGGCCACUGCGUAUGAGAUUGACCAACCUCGGCGCAGUGAUUUACCGGGAACCAGCAUAGCAACGAACGACAACUCGGCGCCCGACAACUCUGUAAUAAAAAUUGCCAAUUUUCGCGGUUAAACUUAAAAAGAGUCCAUGUCAACUGCUGACAGUGAAGAGCCAGGCAGUCUGACCCAUGAUAGGAGGGAGCCAAGUGAAGAGCCAGCCAGUCUGACCCAUGAUAGGAGGGAGCCAAGUGAAGAGCCAGCCAGUCUGACCCAUGAUUCUUGACAUGACUCAUGGUGAACUAAAAUUGCUUGCCAAAGCAUCUGGGACAUGAUGUGAAGACCCACAAGGAAUAUUAUCAGUUGUCUUCCAGUACCAUGGAACUCUCAAAGGUUGCCCUGAUGUUGUAUGCUGUUGAAAAUGGUAAAGUCAAUGAGUGGAAGGGAAGGCAGAUGAAGGACAUAGUAGUAGAAGAUUUACCUCUUCCAAUUGAAGACGAAGAUGGCCAUCAAGAAG
Long non-coding RNA from Dreissena polymorpha, 517 nucleotides. RefSeq lists it as uncharacterized. NCBI's taxonomy places the organism in Eukaryota, Metazoa, Mollusca, Bivalvia, Myida, Dreissenidae. The transcript is spliced from 5 exons. The record is from RefSeq and is a predicted model, not a curated record.